AAGCAAAAUAAAAAAUAAAGAGAGCACGAAAGAACAAUGCAGGUCAAUCUCUCACCAUUCGCCUUUAUAAUGCUGGUUUGCAGAGCUUAAGUGCUCAUCCUUUUGGCAGGUCGUUCUCUGGGAUUACAUGUGAAGCAGCACAUAGCACGGACAUCCAAUAUAUCCAUUAUAUUCACUAUAAAAGCAGACACUUACACUGUCCUAGCUAAACGAGCCACACGCACACGCACACGCACGCCAGCGCGCUGACGUCAAGACUGUGAGACGGGGGAAGUGUCCUGCAGCGGGGUGUAGCUGUAACUUCCUCGAAACUUUCGUUUUCACUCGUUACGGCCGUGUAGGUGGACGUGGUAGCUGCGAGAGAAUAAAUGAAAGGCAACACAGCAGCUAUUCUCUCUUUGGAUGCCCAAAAAUCAUGUGACCUCAUAUAAAUGAGGGUUUAAAGAUAAAGAUUUGACCUAUAAAAUCUACUGCAGCUGGAGGCUCGGGCUUCCCUGUGUUUAAGCGCUACUACUGGGCUGCUGAUGAUAGAAUUCUUACCUGCUUGCAGCG
Molecule: long non-coding RNA, 552 nt
Organism: Pygocentrus nattereri (red-bellied piranha)
Lineage: Eukaryota; Metazoa; Chordata; Actinopteri; Characiformes; Serrasalmidae
Exons: 3
Source: RefSeq, a predicted model, not a curated record